GCACUAUAAACUCAUGCUGUCCCUGCUAACUAGUGCAGGGGCAGGGAAAUAUGUGCUAAAAGAAAUGCAGAGGAAAUCCAGACAAAACAUGUUUGACCUUGUGUUUGGUCUCUACACCUCUGCCACAUUU
Small nucleolar RNA from Hyla sarda, 130 nucleotides. RefSeq annotates it as small nucleolar RNA SNORA55. The transcript has a single exon. The record is from RefSeq and is a predicted model, not a curated record. NCBI's taxonomy places the organism in Eukaryota, Metazoa, Chordata, Amphibia, Anura, Hylidae.